RNAcentral lists this ribosomal RNA (219 nucleotides) under uncultured bacterium. Its description in RNAcentral is "partial 16S ribosomal RNA". It matches the Rfam family "Bacterial small subunit ribosomal RNA", at positions 524 to 746 of the family's 1533-position model. The record is from RNAcentral.
UACGUAGGAGGCGAGCGUUGUCCGGAGUACUGGGCGUAAAGCGCACGCAGGCGGUCAGAUCAGUCUGGAGUGACAGUCUCGGCUUAACCGACGAAGUGUUCUGGAAACUGUCUGACUUGAGGGCUCAGAGGGACACGGAAUCCGGGUGGAGUGGUGAAAUGCGUAGAUAUCCGGAGGAACACCAAUGGCGAAGGCAGUGUCCUGGGAAGUACCUGACGC